Molecule: long non-coding RNA, 273 nt
Organism: Notolabrus celidotus (New Zealand spotty)
Lineage: Eukaryota; Metazoa; Chordata; Actinopteri; Labriformes; Labridae
Exons: 3
Source: RefSeq, a predicted model, not a curated record
GAUGAAAUACGCGGACGAUGUUCUGCAAACCCAUAAGUGCUGCAAAUGCAGAAAAUACAAGGCUGCCGAGUGGACCAAUCACAGGGCUUGUGGUCCAUGUCGAUUCGACGCAUAGUUACAUUUUGGAGGAGUCCAUCAAGUCUGUUCCCCGAAGCCAUCACAGAAACAGAAGAGACAAGCAGAGCCCUUUAGCUAUAAGGACUUUGCCUCAUUCUCAACCUUCUGUCUUGGACGUCUCCUGUUUAUAAAGCUGCUUUUCCCCCAAUAAAGCAU